GACGUAGGGCGCGAGCGUUGUCCGGAUUUAUUGGGCGUAAAGAGCUCGUAGGCGGCUUGUCGCGUCAACUGUGAAAACCCGUGGCUCAACCAUGUGGUCUGCAGUCGAUACGGGCAGGCUAGAAUUCGGUAGGGGAGACUGGAAUUCCUGGUGUAGCGGUGAAAUGCGCAGAUAUCAGGAGGAACACCGGUGGCGAAGGCGGGUCUCUGGGCCAUAACUGACGCUGAGGAGCGAAAGCGUGGGGAGCGAACAGG
This 254-nucleotide ribosomal RNA is filed under the name uncultured bacterium. RNAcentral's name for it is "partial 16S ribosomal RNA". It matches the Rfam family "Bacterial small subunit ribosomal RNA", at positions 524 to 776 of the family's 1533-position model. The record is from RNAcentral.